GACGAACGCUGGCGGCGUGCUUAACACAUGCAAGUCGAACGGAAAGGCCCUGCUUGCAGGGUACUCGAGUGGCGAACGGGUGAGUAACACGUGUGUGAUCUGCCCUGCACUUCGGGAGAAGUCUUGAAAACUGGGUCUAUUACCGGAUAGGAGACAUUUUGAGUGUGAUUGUUGGAAAGUUUUUUUGGUGUAGGAUGAGCGCGCGGCCUAUCAGAUUGUUGGUUGGGUAAUGGCCUACCCAGGCGGCGACGGGUAGCCGGCCCGGGGGGGUGGACGGCCACAUUCGGACUGGGACUCAGCCCAGGCUCCUACGGGAGGCAGAAGGAGCGAAGUUUGCUAUAUGGCAGCAAGCCAGAUGCAGCGACACCGCGGCGGGGAUGACGGCCUUCGGGUUGGAAUCGCCUUUCGCUAUGACCCGAGCUGUUAGUGACGGUACCUGGAUAAGAAGCACCGGCUAACUCCGUG
This 465-nucleotide ribosomal RNA is filed under the name uncultured bacterium. Its description in RNAcentral is "partial 16S ribosomal RNA". It matches the Rfam family "Bacterial small subunit ribosomal RNA", at positions 28 to 507 of the family's 1533-position model. The record is from RNAcentral.